GGCUGUAAGGAUUAAAAUAUGGGAUCGUAAUUCAUUAGAUUAUGUACUAAUUAUAUUCUUUUUUGAAAAACAUUCUUGUCCAUAAAGCUCUACUAUUUUUUACUUCUGUUUUUGUCAGAUAACAUCAGUCAUUCUUAGCAAAAACAUUUUACGACUUACUAUCUAUUGCUUGAUUUUUAUGUUAACCGGCGAUUCAGAUUUUCUGCCUUGUUUCACUUUCCAUAACUCGUGGGACUGUUUUGUGGAAAGCUACAACAUGCAACGUCCUGACCAUACCCUCAAUUGGAAACGCCGACGUAGUUUUGAUUUUGAUUUUUUAGCUGUAACGGCAGUCGUUAACCAGCAUGUGGUGCUACAGCCUUGACAGUUUGUUUCCCCCCCCCCCCCCGUUUGUUCCCUCCCCCACACUUUGCAAUGUGCAGUCAUCUCUUCUGAAGACCAUUUUCAUAGACACUACAACCAUUCCUUUAAAAAAAAAAUUUUUUUUAAACCAAAUUGUUGCAAAAAUACAAAGGUACUUUAAUUUAUCAAUGUUUUUAUCUGUAAAUUUCCAUCCUCACACCCCCUCCCCAUUUGGUGUUUUUCUUUUUCCGCAGCAAAAGAAAAGAAAAAUGUUUUCCUGUUGAAUUGAGGGGGGGUUAAGCAAUGGCACUCGUGAAUGUUUCCUGUGCGUAUGUUUUAGUUGUAAGUGAACUUUACUACUGACUACAGGUGCUAGAGCGAGAGGUCAGGAGAGUUGGCGUCUUCUUUUUAAUGUCUGAUCUCUCCUGACCUUCCUCACUCUUUGAGCACUGGCUGCCUGUCUUGUCUGAAUGUCUCUCCCCCACAAACACAUUAUUUGUCAACUCUUACCUAUUAUUUAAAUGGCAUUUUAACAACGUCUGCUGCGUCCGUGGGUGUUUGUUGCCAGCACUUUGCGAAACACGACUGACAGCUCUGAGUCAAGACACUUAAAUACCACACUGACUGAAAUUCGUAAUAUAAGUUGACGUUUUAAAAAGUAGUAUUACAGACCUCACAGUUGGCCAUUAAUUGCAUGUAAUACAAAUGUUUGUAUUAUAAUCCAAAAGUGCCUUUCAAAAGUCACCUUUCUCGACUUGUGUGUGAACGAUGGGUGUGUUUUUCGAGGGGAUGUCGAGAGGCGAGUCUUGUUUUCAGUGUGGAAACAUGAAGCUUCUGCUGAACUCUCUCCUACUUGCCUGCCAUUGCACGCUCUCAUCACGGAGUGAUGCGACCGACAUGCGUGUGAACCAGAGUCCUGGCAUUGAUGUCCUCGAGGGCCAGACGGUUAUCAUCAACUGCUGUUGGUCAGGAAAUCACACCAGAAUCAAGGUCAAAUGGUUGAAAAACUCAGCCACUUAUAAGGACUGCUCCCAUCCUCUCCAAUCUUGGCAAAAGGAUGCCGAGAAGUGUGUGAGCUUCGAAUUGGCCAACAUCAGUCGAGAGAACUCUGGCACAUACGUGUGCCAGGUCAGUACGGACAUACCGCUUCUGAAGGUGGCCAGUGGAAAUGGUACAGUCGUUAGAGUAACGGACCAAAGAUCAAAUGGCACAGCUGAAGGAGGUCGUACCAGAAGUCCUCUCUGGGUUCCACUCGGGAUUUCCUUGGCUUCGGUGGCUUUGUUGCUUCUCAUCGGGCUUACCUGCUUCUACAAACUCAAGCAAACAAAAGGUGUGAAGGUGAUCUACGAGAGCCCCCACUUGGACUCGGACGUCGGCGAGACGGCCAAACGCAGCAGCGGCGGCUCGUCGCAGUGGCGCGAGGUGGUCGUGUACGAAUCCGUCGAUUACUUUGAGCCUGCGCAGAUGAAGCAAAAUGGGUGAGGGCGCACGCGCUCAGAAGAUUCGCUCGCCUGUUUGCAUUGCUUCGCCUUUACUGCAUGUAUCAUCUCAAUACUAUACUGACGAAACGCGAAGGAAGUUGUGAAUUGACGACUGUCUCGGGCCGCGAGCUGGCGUUCAUGCCGUGCAGUUUCCGGACCGUGAUGCAGAUUGAAAGUGUGUGUUUGUGUGUCUGUGUGCGUGUGUGUGUGCGUGCGCGCGUCUGUGUGUGUUAUCUGUGGUCAUGAGCGGCAGGUCAGUGACAGGAAGUGGAAACAACAACUGUGACAGUUCAAGUCGUUUCUCGUUGUAACCGUUGGGCUUGUAUUUGUGCAGUUAUACGAUAUCAACACGAAUGAUGGUCAUGCCCACCUACACACCUGAAAUGCAAAAGUCGCUCCUCAAACCGAGCA
This is an RNA transcript of Phycodurus eques (leafy seadragon), 2234 nucleotides long. RefSeq lists it as uncharacterized. The transcript is spliced from 6 exons. NCBI's taxonomy places the organism in Eukaryota, Metazoa, Chordata, Actinopteri, Syngnathiformes, Syngnathidae. The record is from RefSeq and is a predicted model, not a curated record.